This 468-nucleotide ribosomal RNA is filed under the name uncultured bacterium. Its description in RNAcentral is "partial 16S ribosomal RNA". It matches the Rfam family "Bacterial small subunit ribosomal RNA", at positions 28 to 507 of the family's 1533-position model. The record is from RNAcentral.
GACGAACGCUGGCGGCGUGCUUAACACAUGCAAGUCGAACGGAAAGGCCCUGCUUUUGUGGGGUGCUCGAGUGGCGAACGGGUGAGUAACACGGGAGUAACCUGCCCUUGACUUUGGGAUAACUUCAGGACACUGGGGCUAAUACCGGAUAGGAGCUCCUGCUGCAUGGUGGUGGUUGGAAAGUUUCGGCGGUUGGGGAUGGACUCGCGGCUUAUCAGCUUGUUGGUGGGGUAGUGGCUUACCAGGGCUUGGAGGGGUGGCCGGCCUGAGUGGGUGACCGGCACAAUUGGGACUGGGAUACGCCCCAGACUCCUACGGGAGGCAGCAGUGGGGAAUAUGGCACAAUGGGCGGAAGCCUGAUGCAGCAACGCCGCGUGCGGGAUGACGGCCUUCGGGUUGUAAACCGCUUUCGCCUGUGACGAAGCGUGAGUGACGGUAAUGGGUAAAGAAGCACCGGCUAACUACGUG